Molecule: ribosomal RNA, 284 nt
Filed under: uncultured bacterium
Lineage: Bacteria
Description: partial 16S ribosomal RNA
Rfam family: Bacterial small subunit ribosomal RNA
Source: RNAcentral
ACCUCCUACGGGGGGCAGCAGUGGGGAAUAUUGGGCAAUGGGCGCAAGCCUGACCCAGCAACGCCGCGUGAAGGAAGAAGUAUUUCGGUAUGUAAAGCUCUAUCAGCAGGGAAGAAAAUGACGGUACCUGACUAAGAAGCCCCGGCUAACUACGUGCCAGCAGCCGCGGUAAUACGUAGGGGGCAAGCGUUAUCCGGAUUUACUGGGUGUAAAGGGAGCGCAGACGGCUGUGCAAGUCUGGAGUGAAAGGCGGGGGCCCAACCCCCGGACCGCUCUGGAAACUG